RNAcentral lists this ribosomal RNA (474 nucleotides) under Listeria welshimeri. Its description in RNAcentral is "bacterial SSU rRNA". It matches the Rfam family "Bacterial small subunit ribosomal RNA", at positions 29 to 484 of the family's 1533-position model. The record is from RNAcentral. Lineage: Bacteria; Bacillati; Bacillota; Bacilli; Caryophanales; Listeriaceae.
ACGAACGCUGGCGGCGUGCCUAAUACAUGCAAGUCGAACGAACGGAGGAAGAGCUUGCUCUUCCAAAGUUAGUGGCGGACGGGUGAGUAACACGUGGGCAACCUGCCUGUAAGUUGGGGAUAACUCCGGGAAACCGGGGCUAAUACCGAAUAAUAAGUGGUGGCGCAUGCCACGGCUUUGAAAGAUGGUUUCGGCUAUCGCUUACAGAUGGGCCCGCGGUGCAUUAGCUAGUUGGUAGGGUAAUGGCCUACCAAGGCAACGAUGCAUAGCCGACCUGAGAGGGUGAUCGGCCACACUGGGACUGAGACACGGCCCAGACUCCUACGGGAGGCAGCAGUAGGGAAUCUUCCGCAAUGGACGAAAGUCUGACGGAGCAACGCCGCGUGUAUGAAGAAGGUUUUCGGAUCGUAAAGUACUGUUGUUAGAGAAGAACAAGGAUAAGAGUAACUGCUUGUCCCUUGACGGUAUCUAACC